Molecule: ribosomal RNA, 735 nt
Filed under: uncultured bacterium
Lineage: Bacteria
Description: bacterial SSU rRNA
Rfam family: Bacterial small subunit ribosomal RNA
Source: RNAcentral
GACGAACGCUGGCGGCGCGCCUAACACAUGCAAGUCGAACGAGCGAGAGAGAGCUUGCUUUCUCAAGCGAGUGGCGAACGGGUGAGUAACGCGUGAGGAACCUGCCUCAAAGAGGGGGACAACAGUUGGAAACGACUGCUAAUACCGCAUAAGCCCACAGGUCGGCAUCGACCAGAGGGAAAAGGAGCAAUCCGCUUUGAGAUGGCCUCGCGUCCGAUUAGCUAGUUGGUGAGGUAACGGCCCACCAAGGCGACGAUCGGUAGCCGGACUGAGAGGUUGAACGGCCACAUUGGGACUGAGACACGGCCCAGACUCCUACGGGAGGCAGCAGUGGGGAAUAUUGCACAAUGGGGGAAACCCUGAUGCAGCGACGCCGCGUGGAGGAAGAAGGUCUUCGGAUUGUAAACUCCUGUUGUUGAGGAAGAUAAUGACGGUACUCAACAAGGAAGUGACGGCUAACUACGUGCCAGCAGCCGCGGUAAAACGUAGGUCACAAGCGUUGUCCGGAAUUACUGGGUGUAAAGGGAGCGCAGGCGGGAAGACAAGUUGGAAGUGAAAUCUAUGGGCUCAACCCAUAAACUGCUUUCAAAACUGUUUUUCUUGAGUAGUGCAGAGGUAGGCGGAAUUCCCGGUGUAGCGGUGGAAUGCGUAGAUAUCGGGAGGAACACCAGUGGCGAAGGCGGCCUACUGGGCACCAACUGACGCUGAGGCUCGAAAGUGUGAGUAGCAAACAGG